RNAcentral lists this transfer RNA (67 nucleotides) under Cirrhitichthys aprinus (spotted hawkfish). RNAcentral describes it as "tRNA-Ser". The record is from RNAcentral. Lineage: Eukaryota; Metazoa; Chordata; Actinopteri; Centrarchiformes; Cirrhitidae.
GAGAGAGACAUGCCGUAACGGAGACUGCUAAUCUUCGUCUCCUCGGUUGGACUCCGAGGCUCACUCG